This 206-nucleotide long non-coding RNA is filed under the name Mytilus galloprovincialis (Mediterranean mussel). The record is from RNAcentral. Lineage: Eukaryota; Metazoa; Mollusca; Bivalvia; Mytilida; Mytilidae.
AGCAACUUUACAAAAACAUGCAAAUGCAAAGAAACAUGCAUGAACUGCAAACAUGUACAUUUUUAAAUGUAAAAAAUAUUACGUUACUUGUUGUAGCAAGUGUCACCUUGGGCGAGUGUACCAAAAUAGGAUUCAGAUAUACAAUUAAACAAAUGUUUAAUUUCAAUUGUUCUUUUGUUCAGUUUAUCCAUAUAAUUGUAAUAAUA